UACGUAGGGGGCAAGCGUUGUCCGGAAUCAUUGGGCGUAAAGCGCGUGUAGGCGGUUCGGUAAGUCUGCUGUGAAAGUCCAGGGCUCAACCCUGGGAUGGCGGUGGAUACUGUCGGACUAGAGUACGGAAGAGGCGAGUGGAAUUCCCGGUGUAGCGGUGAAAUGCGCAGAUAUCGGGAGGAACACCAAUUGCGAAGGCAGCUCGCUGGGACGUUACUGACGCUGAGACGCGAAAGCGUGGGGAGCAAACAGG
Molecule: ribosomal RNA, 253 nt
Filed under: uncultured bacterium
Lineage: Bacteria
Description: partial 16S ribosomal RNA
Rfam family: Bacterial small subunit ribosomal RNA
Source: RNAcentral